Molecule: unclassified non-coding RNA, 422 nt
Filed under: Melitaea cinxia (Glanville fritillary)
Lineage: Eukaryota; Metazoa; Arthropoda; Insecta; Lepidoptera; Nymphalidae
Description: misc RNA ENSMCXG00005004799.1
Source: RNAcentral
UAAAUUAAUCGGAAAGUUAUAAGAGUUUACUCCUUAGAAUCGAUUUUCAUAUAAGAGGGCGUUAAAUUAUUGAACGAAUGAUAUCGAUAUGAUGUCGAUAGAUGGCGUUAUUUGAUUCGUUUAUUUACCAUUUGAUAUGGUAUUAAUCUUUUUCUUAGACUAGUAAGCCUUUUUGUAUCUAUUUAGACAGUCGAUCUGAAGGAGUAAACUCCAGUCGUGCGUCGGAGCUGACACGCACACUUUUUUUGUGUAUUAACGGUUCGUACAGAAACCGAAUCGAAACGAAUGUAGGAACUGAGCAUUAGUAACUAAAGAUUUCCUGUAUUUAUAAUAUUAAAUAAUAAUUUUAAACUACGUUUCAGAUUACAAAGUAUUUUUUUUAUCUUUAACUUAUAAUCAAUCAUUUGUUGUUGUGUAUUUAU